This 563-nucleotide ribosomal RNA is filed under the name uncultured alpha proteobacterium kpj413f. Its description in RNAcentral is "bacterial SSU rRNA". It matches the Rfam family "Bacterial small subunit ribosomal RNA", at positions 513 to 1072 of the family's 1533-position model. The record is from RNAcentral. Lineage: Bacteria; Pseudomonadati; Pseudomonadota; Alphaproteobacteria.
AGCCGCGGUAAUACGAAGGGACCUAGCGUAGUUCGGAAUUACUGGGCGUAAAGAUUAUGUAGGCGGCUAGAUAAGUUAAUUGUGAAAGCCCAAAGCUUAACUUUGGAAUUGCAAUUAAAACUAUUUAGCUAGAGUAUGAUGGAGGAAAGCGGAAUACAUAGUGUAGAGGUGAAAUUCGUAGAUAUUAUGUAGAACACCAGUUGCGAAGGCGGCUUUCUGGAUCAUUACUGACGCUGAGAUACGAAAGUAUGGGUAGCGAAGAGGAUUAGAUACCCUCGUAGUCCAUACUGUAAACGAUGAUUAUUAGAUGUGGGGAAUUAUUUCUCUGUAUCACAGCUAACGCGUUAAAUAAUCCGCCUGGGGAGUACGACCGCAAGGUUAAAACUCAAAUGAAUUGACGGGGACCCGCACAAGCGGUGGAGCAUGUGGUUUAAUUCGAAGCAACGCGCAGAACCUUACCAACCCUUGACAUGUUCGUCGCGAGACUAAGAAAUUAGUCUCUUUCGGUUCGGCCGGACGAAACACAGGUGCUGCAUGGCUGGUCGUCAGCUCGUGUCGUGAGA